Molecule: transfer RNA, 67 nt
Filed under: Obrium sp. NS-2015
Lineage: Eukaryota; Metazoa; Arthropoda; Insecta; Coleoptera; Cerambycidae
Description: tRNA-Ser
Source: RNAcentral
AAUUGAUGAGCUUGUAUAAGUAUAUACCUUGAAAGUAUAAAAAAGGAACAUAAUUUCCUAUCAAUUU